RNAcentral lists this transfer RNA (73 nucleotides) under Myxococcales bacterium. RNAcentral's name for it is "tRNA-Ala". It matches the Rfam family "tRNA". From Rfam's summary of the family: Transfer RNA (tRNA) molecules are approximately 80 nucleotides in length. Their secondary structure includes four short double-helical elements and three loops (D, anti-codon, and T loops). RNAcentral also lists the same sequence under 1 other name. The record is from RNAcentral. Lineage: Bacteria; Pseudomonadati; Myxococcota; Myxococcia; Myxococcales.
GGGGCCGUAGCUCAGUUGGGAGAGCGCUUGAAUGGCAUUCAAGAGGUCGUCGGUUCGACCCCGAUCGGCUCCA